GACGAACGCUGGCGGCGUGCCUAAUACAUGCAAGUAGAACGCACGGUUUAUACCGUAGCUUGCUACACCAUAGACUGUGAGUUGCGAACGGGUGAGUAACGCGUAGGUAACCUGCCUGGUAGCGGGGGAUAACUAUUGGAAACGAUAGCUAAUACCGCAUAAUAUUAAUUAUUGCAUGAUAAUUAAUUGAAAGGUGCAAUUGCACCACUACCAGAUGGACCUGCGUUGUAUUAGCUAGUAGGUGAGGUAACGGCACACCUAGGCGACGAUACAUAGCCGACAUGAGAGAGUGUACGGCCACACUGGGACUGAGACACGGCCCAGACUCCUACGGGAAGCAGCAGUAGGGCAUCUUCGGAAAUGGACGAAAGUCUGAACGAGCAACGCCGCAUGAGUGAAGAAGGUUUUCGGAUCGUAAAGCUCUGUUGUAAGGGAAGAACGGGUGUGAGAGUGGAAAGUUCACACUGUGACGGUAUCUUAUCAGAAAGGGACGGCUAACUACGUG
Molecule: ribosomal RNA, 505 nt
Filed under: uncultured bacterium
Lineage: Bacteria
Description: partial 16S ribosomal RNA
Rfam family: Bacterial small subunit ribosomal RNA
Source: RNAcentral